This 220-nucleotide long non-coding RNA is filed under the name Elaeis guineensis (African oil palm). Its description in RNAcentral is "long non-coding RNA (EGUI_LNC026105)". The record is from RNAcentral. Lineage: Eukaryota; Viridiplantae; Streptophyta; Magnoliopsida; Arecales; Arecaceae.
GAGAUGCAGCAGGGACAAUAACAACAGAUCAUGCAACAACUAUUUCAGGAGCGGUAGUCUCAGUAGCAACAGGAGCUGGAAACCAACAAGAGUAUCAAAGCAAUUUGAGAGAUUUUAAGAAAUAUGCACCACUAGUAUUCACAGGAACCUCAGAUCCUAUGGAAGUUGAAUGUUGAUCGAAAGCAAUAGAAAAUAUUUUCCAUGCUUUGAGAUGUCCUGC